This 24-nucleotide microRNA is filed under the name Equus caballus (horse). RNAcentral's name for it is "eca-miR-1379". The record is from miRBase by way of RNAcentral. Lineage: Eukaryota; Metazoa; Chordata; Mammalia; Perissodactyla; Equidae.
GCACGGGCUGCAGCGCCGACGCCU